Molecule: ribosomal RNA, 233 nt
Filed under: uncultured bacterium
Lineage: Bacteria
Description: partial 16S ribosomal RNA
Rfam family: Bacterial small subunit ribosomal RNA
Source: RNAcentral
UACGGAGGGGGCUAGCGUUGUUCGGAAUUACUGGGCGUAAAGCGCGCGUAGGCGGAUCUGCAAGUCGGGGGUGAAAUCCCGAGGCUCAACCUCGGAACUGCCUUCGAUACUGCGAGUCUCGAGUCCGGGAGAGGUGAGUGGCAAUUCCUAGUGUAGAGGUGAAAUUCGUAGAUAUUAGGGUGAAGAACACCGGUGGCGAAGGCGGCUCAUCUGGCUCGUAUCUGACGCUCAGG